CCCUCCCUUUUGACUGUCUGGGGAAGGAAAGCUCAUAAUCUCAGCUAUUAACAAACAAAGAGAUACAUAUUGAAAAAGAUCGGCAUGGGAGAUGGCAAUACUAGCAGUAGAGGCGGCAAUUCCAAUAGCAGCAAUCGGCCAGAGUGGUUGCAACACUACGAUUUGAUCGGAAAAAUUGGGGAAGGAACUUACGGCUUGGUUUUCUUGGCUAAGAUCAAAGCUAACCGCUCCAAAUCUAUUGCUAUCAAGAAGUUUAAGCAAUCCAAGGACGGCGACGGCGUUUCUCCCACCGCCAUUCGUGAAAUCAUGUUGCUUCGGGAGAUUACACAUGAGAAUGUUGUAAAGCUUGUCAAUGUUCAUAUCAACCAAGCUGAUAUGUCCCUUUACCUCGCUUUUGACUAUGCCGAGCAUGACCUUUAUGAAAUUAUCAGACAUCAUAGAGACAAGGUCAAUCAGGCUAUCAAUCAGUACACAGUGAAGUCCCUUUUAUGGCAACUGCUUAAUGGUCUCAAUUAUCUUCACAGUAAUUGGAUUAUACACCGAGACCUAAAGCCAUCAAAUAUCUUGGUGAUGGGUGACGGAGAGGAACAUGGAGUUAUUAAAAUCGCUGAUUUUGGCCUUGCAAGAAUUUAUCAGGCUCCAUUGAAACCAUUAGCUGAGAAUGGGGUUGUAGUGACCAUCUGGUAUCGUGCACCAGAGUUACUCCUUGGGGCAAAACACUACACAAGUGCAGUUGAUAUGUGGGCUGUUGGCUGUAUAUUUGCUGAGCUUCUUACUCUAAAGCCACUAUUUCAAGGGCAAGAAGUGAAAGGAACACCAAAUCCGUUCCAGCUUGACCAACUUGACAAGAUAUUUAAGGUUCUCGGUCAUCCCACCCCAGAAAAGUGGCCAACACUGGUAAACCUUCCACAUUGGCAAUCUGACGUGCAGCGUAUUCAAGGACAUAAGUAUGACAAUCCUGCACUUUAUAGUGUUUUGCACCUGACGCCCAAAAGUCCUGCAUAUGACCUCCUUUCUAAGAUGCUUGAAUAUGAUCCUCGCAAAAGAAUAACAGCAGCGCAAGCUCUCGAGCAUGAGUACUUUCGGAUGGAACCUCUACCUGGCCGCAAUGCACUUGUUCCACCACAGCCUGGAGAAAAAAUUGUGAACUAUCCAACUCGACCUGUGGACACGACUACAGACUUUGAAGGAACAAUUAGUCUUCAACCUCCUCAGCCAGUAUCAUCAGGAAAUGCAGCAUCUGGUGGCAUGCAAGGUCCCCAUGUAAUGCCGAAUAGAUCUGUGCCCCGACAGAUGCCAAUGGUCAACAUGCAAAGGAUGCCUCAGGGCAUGUCUGCUUACAAUCUUGCUUCUCAAGCUGGCAUGGGUGCUGGAAUGAACCCGGGAAACAUGCCCAUGCAGCGUGGUGUUGCGUCUCAGGCACAUCAGCAGCAGAUGAGAAGGAAAGAUCCAGGAAUGGGGAUGCCUGGAUACCCUCCGCAACAGAAAUCUAGACGUUUCUGAAAGUCUUUUCAGCGACAAUCAUGCCCAUACACAACUCUGUGUCUCUAGUCGUGAAACUAGCAGGCAAGUGGGAGUAGCUGCCUCCAUAAGGCGGGUUCAAGAAGAUUAUGUUUCUGAAGUUAACUUCAGUCUGACUGUUGGUGGACAAGUUUUCCCACCAUUUAUGAAGCAGAGAGAGUCAAUUGGCACUAUUAUUAUUUCGGGUUGCGGAUGUGACUCUUAUGGAUCAGAUAUUGUUCCAUAUCAGUUUUCACUAACGACAUCAGUGAUGGUCUGCUCUGACAUGACUGCUACCUAUCUAUAUGAACCGCAUAACCCAUCUAUAGAGUUGUAUAUAUGUAUAUAUGUGUACACCAACCAAUUAUCAAUGUAUCAGGCAAGUCAUCUUAUUGUCUUCUUCUAAAGCCUCAUAUGACCUUUAUUGCUAA
This is an RNA transcript of Nicotiana tabacum (common tobacco), 1931 nucleotides long. It is a transcript of the gene named cyclin-dependent kinase E-1, with no coding region annotated. Lineage: Eukaryota; Viridiplantae; Streptophyta; Magnoliopsida; Solanales; Solanaceae. The record is from RefSeq and is a predicted model, not a curated record.